UUACAGUACUUACCCUUGUGGGCCUAUGGAUUAGUGGUCUAAACGAAUUGGAGAAAAUACCGUCCGUAUGACUUUGGAUACUACCGUCCGCUGAGCAUUACAGAAGGUCUACAUUAUAUUAUCCUGUUGAUUGCCAUUACGGAAUAUCGGCUUCUUCCUGUCUUUAUACGCCUUGUGCAUUACCGGUAUUUCUCCUUGACAUCGGCAGCAGGAAGAUCUUUCAUUACAAAUAUAUGAGAAUUCUUACCGGUAUUCCACCAAAACGCAAGUUAUAUCCACAAGAGCACCGUUCAAGGCUAAGGAUCUCUGUUUCUAGAUGACAAAUUUAAGAUUUUGUUUUUUCGAUUUCGUCGGCGAUAUUACGUACGGUACC
Molecule: long non-coding RNA, 373 nt
Organism: Anneissia japonica
Lineage: Eukaryota; Metazoa; Echinodermata; Crinoidea; Comatulida; Comatulidae
Exons: 3
Source: RefSeq, a predicted model, not a curated record